AUACGAAGGUCCCAAGCGUUGUUCGGAUUUACUGGGCGUAAAGCGUGCGUAGGCGGCAAGGUAAGUCAGAUGUGAAAUCCCGGGGCUCAACCCCGGAACUGCAUCCGAUACUGCCUUGCUAGAGUAAUGGAGGGGCAUCUGGAAUUCAUGGUGUAGCAGUGAAAUGCGUAGAUAUCAUGAGGAACACUAGUGGCGAAGGCGAGAUGCUGGACAUUUACUGACGCUGAGGUACGAAGGCCAGGGUAGCGAAAAGGAUUAGAAACCCCAGUAGUCC
RNAcentral lists this ribosomal RNA (274 nucleotides) under uncultured bacterium. RNAcentral describes it as "partial 16S ribosomal RNA". It matches the Rfam family "Bacterial small subunit ribosomal RNA", at positions 523 to 796 of the family's 1533-position model. The record is from RNAcentral.